Pezoporus flaviventris is the source of this 280-nucleotide long non-coding RNA. RefSeq lists it as uncharacterized. The record is from RefSeq and is a predicted model, not a curated record. The transcript has 3 exons. Lineage: Eukaryota; Metazoa; Chordata; Aves; Psittaciformes; Psittacidae.
CUGGGGCGGGAGGUUUCCCCGUCGCAGGCCUUGGAGCGUGUCGCAGUGUUCAUAAUCCGCGUGUGCGGCCGUGUUGGUGAGAACAAAGAAAAUGGGAAGAAAAAGCCACGUGCGCUGGAGCUUGCUCGGUGUCAUCCCGGCUGAUCGGCGGCUGGAGGAGAGCAGUAUCUGAGCUGCAUCGAGGGAAGAGUCUGUCCUAGGAAUGAGCAGAGACCGAGAGCCAUGGCUUGGAUCCACUCCCAGCUGAGUUAUUGCAUUGCUGUGUGGCCCUGGCCAUGGU